GAUUCUAGAGCGGAUAUACAGGCCCUACAGUAAUAAAACAUUCAAAUGGUAACCUUUAAGUUUGAUGCAUGCUUCUUCUGCAAAAAUGCUAAGAAUAUAGCCAGCAACCAAAUCCAUUUUUUUAGAUAUCUGCAGAUUUCACAUUCAGGGAGGCUAUAAAGAUGCAUCAUGCACUUUUAAUAAUGACUUGAAAUCAUAGUAGCAGAUGACCACUUCAGUUAUGACACAAUGAAAGUUGGAAUCCUGAAACAUAAAUGCAUGACUAUCACCAGAGUCAGCAUUGAAGUGUGACUAUCAUCAGAAUCUGCAUUUUAACCAAUUGCCUGUCACUAGCUGCUUGGAAGCUUAAGUUGAGAAUCAUGUUGCCAAAAUGUAAGAACUUGCAAGUUGCAAAUAAAGUUAAAGCAUAGCAAUAUGCAUAUGUAGCCACAUGACUGCCACCAGCUGCCGCAUAGAAAUUCUUCUCAAGAGUUAAAUUCCUUAUAAUUUAUGCACGAAUUAGAUAGAGAGCAGUUUUGCAAAUCUCAUCUCCGUUUUUAUUAAUAAAUGAAACUUGUGCUGAUAAAAGCACUAAAGGGCGUGUUACUUAUGUGCAAACAGGACUGCCUGCAAAAUUUACAAAAGCAAAAUGACAACUACCAAUGAACCAAUCAUCCCAAAUUUCACGGUAUGAAAUGACUCGUAUUUAACCUUAUCAAUUGAAGAUUUUAUAUUUUCAAAAGAUAGCAAAAAUUCCAUUCUAGUAUAGCCAAUGCAAUGGCAUUGCACAAUGCUUUUAUAAACGGAACUGAACCUCCAAAGUAACAUUCUUUCCCUGAUCCUUUUCAGCUCUCUAUUCUUCACGAUUUGACUAUGGAAUCUCCACCAGCUGUGUUACCUUUCUCAAAGCUCAAAACUGGUGACUUGCCAAAGCUUUUACAGCUGAUGCUUAUCAGCUCUUCAGCAAGGAUCUUGUUUUUGAGCUAAGCUACAGCAAAUUUUUUUUUUACUCUCUUUUUACUUGAAUUAAUUUCUUGUUUCUCCAUCUUUGGUUGGGUUAGCUAACAUCCUAAUUUUGGUUGGCUCUGUUCGGACCCGAGAUUCAGGCCCAAC
RNAcentral lists this unclassified non-coding RNA (1092 nucleotides) under Hevea brasiliensis (rubber tree). The record is from RNAcentral. Lineage: Eukaryota; Viridiplantae; Streptophyta; Magnoliopsida; Malpighiales; Euphorbiaceae.